UAAAAUCAAUCACGAAGGAGAAGUAAACCGUGCUCGUUACAUGCCGCAGAAUCCUCACAUCAUUGCUACAAAAACACCAUCUUCUGAUGUGUUGGUUUUUGACUAUACAAAACACCCUGCUAAACCAGACCCAAGUGGAGAAUGUAAUCCUGAUCUCAGAUUAAGAGGUCACCAGAAGGAAGGCUAUGGUCUCUCCUGGAAUUCAAAUUUGAGUGGACAUCUCCUAAGUGCAUCUGAUGACCAUACUGUUUGUCUGUGGGAUAUAAACGCAGGACCAAAAGAAGGCAAAAUUGUGGAUGCUAAAGCCAUCUUUACUGGCCACUCAGCUGUUGUAGAGGAUGUGGCCUGGCACCUGCUGCACGAGUCAUUGUUUGGAUCUGUUGCUGAUGAUCAGAAACUUAUGAUGUAAGGUGGAAAAUUCAGUGGGAUCUUGUUAAAUGGGUGACCUGAAUGACCAUCAGUGAUUGCUGCAGGCUGUAGUUUGAUUUUUUUUUUUUAAGUUAUGGCUUUAAAAAACAGCUUUAGGUAGCUUACUCCUGUAAUCUCAAUACCUUGGGAAGCUGAGGCAGGAGGAUUGCUUGAGACCAGGAGUGUGAGACUCUACACAAAAUUUAAAAACAAAAAAUUAGUUGGGUAUGGUGGUGUGCACCUGUAGUCCUAGCUACUCAGGAGGCUGAAGUGGGAGGAUCACUUAUUAUUUAGAAAAAAAGAAAACUAGGUAUGGACAUGUGAAGGAACAUACUUGGUGUGGUGGUAAAUAUCAAAAUUGAGAUCCAGAGUGAUGCCAGUUGGAGGUCGAGGAGGAAAAUGAUUUCAUCAAGGUGUGGCCACAGGGCUUCAUUCACUUAUAAUCUUAUAAAGAAAUACCUGAGGCAAAUGUGACAAAAUACUGGGCAUUUGUCAAAACUAGUUUUAGGUAUCAGAUUGUGACAUUAUUCUCUACAUAGUCUGUAUUUUGUGUACACUUGAAAUAGUUGGUAAUUAAAAUAGGAAUCUAAUUUAAAAAACAGGACUAACAGCCCUAGCUUGUUCUCUGUAGGUUUCGAAUGUAUCAUUUAGUGGUCGAGGUCUGAAUCACCAGCUGUGUGGUUGGUUUCUUCAUGAAGGGGAGCACAUAGUGGAGCUAGUUGUGGAGUGCAGUGACAGUGAUGUGAGGCCGAAUGUGAGUGUGUCAUCCCUGGGUGCCGUGUGCCUUUACCUUUGUGUUUUAGAUGGGACACCAGGUCCAAUACCACCUCCAAGCCGAGUCACUUGGUGGAUGCGCACACUGCCGAAGUCAACUGCCUCUCAUUCAAUCCCUACAGCGAAUUUAUUCUAGCCACCGGCUCUGCGGAUAAGGUUUCGAAGUUUUUGCAUUAUUUGGUGUUUAUAAAACCCAGUUCUCUUGUGCCUUAAUCAGAUAUUUGAAAAUUCUUAGGUAAAGCAUAGAAAUCAUUUUCACUUGUUAUUUUUCUUUAGACCGUAGCUUUAUGGGAUCUGCGUAACUUAAAAUUAAAACUCCAUACCUUCGAAUCUCAUAAAGAUGAAAUUUUCCA
This 1535-nucleotide long non-coding RNA is filed under the name Homo sapiens (human). Its description in RNAcentral is "non-protein coding lnc-CTPS2-6:1". Lineage: Eukaryota; Metazoa; Chordata; Mammalia; Primates; Hominidae. The record is from RNAcentral.